Molecule: unclassified non-coding RNA, 509 nt
Filed under: Hevea brasiliensis (rubber tree)
Lineage: Eukaryota; Viridiplantae; Streptophyta; Magnoliopsida; Malpighiales; Euphorbiaceae
Source: RNAcentral
GAAAGUAAUGUCUUUCUUUAUGCUUAUUCUGCAACUUUUUAUUGUAAAUGAAAUUUCCUUCUUUGCUUAAUUACUUGUGUUUGUGAAUAAGCAUAAAGAAAGACAUUACUUUCNAACAAGACUCCAAGACUAGUAGAUUUCAAAGGUAUCAAACCACACACACCAGGCAAUUUGCUCAAGUAAUAGAGGUGCACAUUAUGAUCACAGAACACAAUGACAUGAUAUGUUCAGAAAGAAAGUGGAGUUUAGUUAAAAGGCCAUCCUGAAUAACCCAUCUGGUGGUUCUCUUCAUGUACGGUUGGUGAACUGCUUCCCGUGGUCCCAUCAUGGUUAGAGCUAGAACUAGAUGAGCGGAAUGGCCAAAAAUAAGAGAAUGGAUUCCGUCUUCCUUCCCUGCUAUUCUCUCUUCUGCUAUAAUUGUUGUUUCUACUUUGAGAACUUGAGCUCUGGUAACUGUGGCCACUACUUGAUCCUUGUGGUGGUAGCUCCUGACGACAAACAGGGCAUGA